Molecule: long non-coding RNA, 211 nt
Organism: Uranotaenia lowii
Lineage: Eukaryota; Metazoa; Arthropoda; Insecta; Diptera; Culicidae
Exons: 3
Source: RefSeq, a predicted model, not a curated record
AGUCACUAUUAUACAAUUUGUUCGAAGUUUGCUAUCACAGAUUGUUCGGCUAUUAGUGUUAUUAGUUACAAAAGUUUGCUAUCACAGAUUGUUCGGCUAUUAUCAGAAAAGAUAUACGUGUUGUACAAAACAAGGCACCGAUCAGUUUACACAACAAAUAACGUUCAGGACGACAACAAGACUAUCCACGUAAAGUAGGCACUAAACGUAA